This 396-nucleotide long non-coding RNA is filed under the name Rattus norvegicus (Norway rat). RNAcentral's name for it is "long non-coding RNA NONRATT026816". The record is from RNAcentral. Lineage: Eukaryota; Metazoa; Chordata; Mammalia; Rodentia; Muridae.
ACCGAAACCUGUUAAAGUGGUCAUCUAACAACAGGAACCACUGUGAGGACUCUGAGGCAAGGCAGCAUGGGAUACAUUGUGCCAAAGAUACUCACAAUGGGAGCCAAGAAGAAAGACAGAAAAGGCCACAGUCCCAGAGUUCUCUACAAAAGCACACACCAGGGAGCUAACUUCCUUCCCUUAGUUCACAAGUUAAAGGUCCAACCAUUUCCCAGCGCACCAAAGGCAGACAGCCAGGUCUUCAUCACUGCAACACUGGGGAACAUUUAGCAUCAAACUACAAUUUCUAUGGGGAGAAGAUUUCAGGCUAUGGAUGUUUUGGAACUCAAGUGCUCUUGACUGUUUCGAUCCUUCAGGAUAUUUACACACACAGAAUAUAAUAAAAAUGUCAAGUGG